RNAcentral lists this long non-coding RNA (475 nucleotides) under Heterocephalus glaber (naked mole-rat). Its description in RNAcentral is "lncRNA (ENSHGLG00100049128.1)". The record is from RNAcentral. Lineage: Eukaryota; Metazoa; Chordata; Mammalia; Rodentia; Bathyergidae.
CACAGGCUCCUUCAUCCUGCCACUCUUGGUCCUUAACCUGCAGCUUCCAUCUCACGGACACCUAGGGAUGCUGCAGCUCCUGCCAUCUCAUCUGCUCUCUAGGACGCCCUCAGCACAUGUUGCUGUUGUUCAGCAUGUGUUGUCGGAGUCACAUGGCGCCAUUUCUGCUGAAGUCCUGUCAUCCAGAAUUUAGUCACCGGCCGGCCAUCUGAGCUUCUGGGAGUGUGAGGAGAUAGCGUUUACCUUCGGAAUGUGCAGACUGAUGUGUGAGUGGUUAUUUGUCUCUUGGCACCGGGGACCAUGCAGGGGGUGCUUCGGGGCUGGUGACUGAAAGGCAGGGUUGCACAAACCAUCCGUUUCCAUGGAGACCAGGUGCAACCCGUCAUCAAUACGGAUGCUUCUCGAGUUCCUAGAAAGCACCUCAAGGACAAGGCCACCAGCAGGCUGGAAACAUCACUCUGCACAGAGACCAGCA